GGACAGGUGUUUCAUCGGCCUUUAAAAAUUAAUAAAAGAUAGUCAAGGAACUUUGAAUUGUGGACCAUAUUGGCAAUCUCUAGAAUUGUAAGGCAUAAGAUUACACUCUUGCUGGUGUAAGAUUCUGGCAAAGGUAUCUGUGACAGGCAAUGCCUUUGAUGUUGGUCUCUUUUGUCUACACUAAUCCGACCUAGUGGUAGAAUUUCUGGGCAAGGCAGAUUCCAAGGUCUGGGAAGGCUACAAUUUCUCCCAAGAAUUACAAUCUGGGAGGUGGGAGUGGAAACAAGAUGUAAAUUGCUUCUCUCACAUGGAAGCACCUUAGGCUGUGUUACUGGGAGUGUCUGAUUAAAGCAAGUUGUAUUUAAAAUCGCAGGAGGGCCUGGCUAGACUACUGCCAGGGUGACCUGCCAUAGUUAGUUUUUAAAUCAAACUGGUUCAUGGUAGUAUUUACUUGGCACACAAUUUUUUUUUCAAAGUCAAAACAUUUAUUAUGCACUUAACAAAGGGGGACAAUCUUCUCAUGGAAAGGUGCCCCUAUUAUGACACGCUCAAACUACAAUAGUACUAGUGAAGAAAAGAAUGCUUGACACUUUUUGCAGAUGGAACAUCCAUUCUCUUGCUCAGAGGAAGAUCUUUCCUUUACAAUGUGUCUCAGGCUUUUAGGUGCUUGACAUAUCCAUGUUCCUAUCAGCAAUGGACAUUGACUUUCGAUUUUGUCCAUCUCUAAUACUCAGCUUUCAUUUUUUUGUUCCACAAUCAAUAUUCCAGUAGUUCUCUCUGGUAUAGGCAAUGCUGGGUCUCCAGAUCAUAAACUUAGGACCCACAACAGUUUAAACAUUUGGAUGUAGCAAAUGUGACUCUGUUGGGCUGCCUAUUAGCCCAGAUUAUGUCCAGAAGACAUAAUUUCAACUAACUCGGAUUUAAUAGGAGUUCAUUUAAGUCCUUUACAGAGAAAGUUGUCUUCUAGGAAUUCUUGCUGAUACUUGUAACUUCUUGAAGAUUAAUCUGUUACUAUUUGUUCUAAUAAAGAUACAGGUGGGUACAUG
Molecule: long non-coding RNA, 1046 nt
Filed under: Mus musculus (house mouse)
Lineage: Eukaryota; Metazoa; Chordata; Mammalia; Rodentia; Muridae
Description: long non-coding RNA chr1:21351153-21352199
Source: RNAcentral